Mycena crocata is the source of this 102-nucleotide non-coding RNA. The record is from the annotation of a GenBank genome assembly. NCBI's taxonomy places the organism in Eukaryota, Fungi, Basidiomycota, Agaricomycetes, Agaricales, Mycenaceae.
GGCCCAAUGGUCUAGACGUAUGAUACACGCUUCGGGAGUUUGUCCAGAGAUCAUUGAUUUCAAGUUUGUGUGUGGUCCCGGGUUCAAUUCCCGGUUGGGCCC